RNAcentral lists this ribosomal RNA (331 nucleotides) under uncultured Ehrlichia sp. Its description in RNAcentral is "bacterial SSU rRNA". It matches the Rfam family "Bacterial small subunit ribosomal RNA", at positions 75 to 418 of the family's 1533-position model. The record is from RNAcentral. Lineage: Bacteria; Pseudomonadati; Pseudomonadota; Alphaproteobacteria; Rickettsiales; Anaplasmataceae.
AGCCUCUGGCUAUAGGAAAUUGUUAGUGGCAGACGGGUGAGUAAUGCGUAGGAAUCUACCUAGUAGUACGGAAUAGCCAUUAGAAAUGGUGGGUAAUACUGUACAAUCCCCGAGGGGGAAAGAUUUAUCGCUAUUAGAUGAGCCUACGUUAGAUUAGCUAGUUGGUGAGGUAAUGGCUUACCAAGGCUAUGAUCUAUAGCUGGUCUGAGAGGACGAUCAGCCACACUGGAACUGAGAUACGGUCCAGACUCCUACGGGAGGCAGCAGUGGGGAAUAUUGGACAAUGGGCGAAAGCCUGAUCCAGCUAUGCCGCGUGAGUGAAGAAGGCCUC